UACGAAGGGGGGCUAGCGUUGUUCGGAAUUACUGGGCGUAAAGGGCGCGUAGGCGGUGUGUCAAGUCAGGCGUGAAAGCCCCGGGCUCAACCUGGGAACCGCGCUUGAGACUGGCACGCUCGAGUUCGGGAGAGGAUGGUGGAAUUCCCCAGUGUAGAGGUGAAAAUUCGUAGAUAUUGGGAAGAACACCGAUGGCGAAGGCAGCCAUCUGGACCGACACUGACGCUGAGGCGCGAAAGCGUGGGGAGCAAACAGG
Molecule: ribosomal RNA, 256 nt
Filed under: uncultured bacterium
Lineage: Bacteria
Description: partial 16S ribosomal RNA
Rfam family: Bacterial small subunit ribosomal RNA
Source: RNAcentral